UUCAUUGCUUUCUUGUCAUCAUUUCAAAUCCUUAUCAUUGUCAUGUUUCUCGAAUAAACUUAGAACCCUCAUGUGUAUUGUUUAUUACCAAGAGAACAUAAUAUUUGUCAUGCCAAGAAUAUGGAAAUGAUGAACCUAAAUGGUACCUUCUGUUAAGACAUGGCUGUAUAUCCUCGUCUACACAUCUAAUCUGAGUUUUUAGGAUAUCAUUUUUAAA
RNAcentral lists this long non-coding RNA (217 nucleotides) under Daucus carota (carrot). RNAcentral's name for it is "long non-coding RNA (DCAR_LNC001980)". Lineage: Eukaryota; Viridiplantae; Streptophyta; Magnoliopsida; Apiales; Apiaceae. The record is from RNAcentral.